CAGCCGCCGCGGUAAUUCGGGGGGGGCGAGCGUUAUUCGGAAUUAUUGGGCGUAAAGGGCGUGUAGGCGGCCUCGCGUGUCCUCUGUGAAAGCCCUCGGCUCAACCGAGGAACUGCAGGGGAAACUGUGAGGCUUGAGUCCGGGAGAGGAGAGCGGAAUUCCCAGUGUAGCGGUGAAAUGCGUAGAUAUUGGGAGGAACACCAGUGGCGAAGGCGGCUCUCUGGACCGGUACUGACGCUAAAGCGCGAAAGCUAGGGGAGCAAACGGGAUUAGAUACCCCGGUAGUCCUAGCCGUAAACGAUGAGCGCUUGGUGUGGCGGGUAUCGACCCCUGCCGUGCCGAAGCUAACGCAUUAAGCGCUCCGCCUGGGGAGUACGGCCGCAAGGCUGAAACUCAAAGGAAUUGACGG
RNAcentral lists this ribosomal RNA (409 nucleotides) under uncultured bacterium. Its description in RNAcentral is "bacterial SSU rRNA". It matches the Rfam family "Bacterial small subunit ribosomal RNA", at positions 509 to 916 of the family's 1533-position model. The record is from RNAcentral.